GACGAACGCUGGCGGCGUGCUUAACACAUGCAGGUCGAACGGAAAGGCCCUGCUUUUGUGGGGUGCUCGAGUGGCGAACGGGUGAGUAACACGUGAGUAACCUGCCCUUGACUUUGGGAUAACUUCAGGAAACUGGGGCUAAUACCGGAUAGGAGCUCCUGCUGCAUGGUGGGGGUUGGAAAGUUUCGGCGGUUGGGGAUGGGCUCGCGGCUUAUCAGCUUGUUGGUGGGGUAGUGGCUUACCAAGGCUUUGACGGGUAGCCGGCCUGAGAGGGUGACCGGCCACAUUGGGGCUGAGAUACGGCCCAGACUCCUACGGGAGGCAGCAGUGGGGAAUAUUGCACAAUGGGCGGAAGCCUGAUGCAGCAACGCCGCGUGCGGGAUGACGGCCUUCGGGUUGUAAACCGCUUUCGCCUGUGACGAAGCGUGAGUGACGGUAAUGGGUAAAGAAGCACCGGCUAACUACGUG
Molecule: ribosomal RNA, 468 nt
Filed under: uncultured bacterium
Lineage: Bacteria
Description: partial 16S ribosomal RNA
Rfam family: Bacterial small subunit ribosomal RNA
Source: RNAcentral